UCUCCGUAGGUGAACCUGCGGAGGGAUCAUUACAGAGUUCAUGCCCUACCGGGUAGAUCUCCCACCCUAUGUUAUUAUUACUUUGUUGCUUUGGCGGGCCGUUAGGCUCCGGCCCGACUACCGGCCCCGGCUGGUAAGCGCCCGCCAGAGGACCCAAAACCCUGAAUAUUAGUGUCGUCUGAGUACCAUAUAAUAGUUAAAACUUUCAACAACGGAUCUCUUGGCUCUC
This 229-nucleotide unclassified non-coding RNA is filed under the name plant metagenome. Its description in RNAcentral is "partial contains small subunit ribosomal RNA, internal transcribed spacer 1, and 5.8S ribosomal RNA". The record is from RNAcentral.